AUUGAACGCUGGCGGCAUGCCUUACACAUGCAAGUCGAACGGCAGCACGGAGCUUGCUCUGGUGGCGAGUGGCGAACGGGUGAGUAAUAUAUCGGAACGUACCCUAGAGUGGGGGAUAACGUAGCGAAAGUUACGCUAAUACCGCAUACGAUCUAAGGAUGAAAGUGGGGGAUCGCAAGACCUCAUGCUCGUGGAGCGGCCGAUAUCUGAUUAGCUAGUUGGUAGGGUAAAAGCCUACCAAGGCAUCGAUCAGUAGCUGGUCUGAGAGGACGACCAGCCACACUGGAACUGAGACACGGUCCAGACUCCUACGGGAGGCAGCAGUGGGGAAUUUUGGACAAUGGGCGAAAGCCUGAUCCAGCAAUGCCGCGUGAGUGAAGAAGGCCUUCGGGUUGUAAAGCUCUUUUGUCAGGGAAGAAACGGUGAAAGCUAAUAUCUCUUGCUAAUGACGGUACCUGAAGAAUAAGCACCGGCUAACUACGUGCCAGCAGCCGCGGUAAUACGUAGGGUGCAAGCGUUAAUCGGAAUUACUGGGCGUAAAGCGUGCGCAGGCGGUUCUGUAAGUCUGAUGUGAAAUCCCCGGGCUCAACCUGGGAAUUGCAUUGGAGACUGCAAGGCUAGAAUCUGGCAGAGGGGGGUAGAAUUCCACGUGUAGCAGUGAAAUGCGUAGAUAUGUGGAGGAACACCGAUGGCGAAGGCAGCCCCCUGGGUCAAGAUUGACGCUCAUGCACGAAAGCGUGGGGAGCAAACAGGAUUAGAUACCCUGGUAGUCCACGCCCUAAACGAUGUCUACUAGUUGUCGGGUCUUAAUUGACUUGGUAACGCAGCUAACGCGUGAAGUAGACCGCCUGGGGAGUACGGUCGCAAGAUUAAAACUCAAAGGAAUUGACGGGGACCCGCACAAGCGGUGGAUGAUGUGGAUUAAUUCGAUGCAACGCGAAAAACCUUACCUACCCUUGACAUGGCUGGAAUCCUCGAGAGAUUGAGGAGUGCUCGAAAGAGAACCAGUACACAGGUGCUGCAUGGCUGUCGUCAGCUCGUGUCGUGAGAUGUUGGGUUAAGUCCCGCAACGAGCGCAACCCUUGUCAUUAGUUGCUACGAAAGGGCACUCUAAUGAGACUGCCGGUGACAAACCGGAGGAAGGUGGGGAUGACGUCAAGUCCUCAUGGCCCUUAUGGGUAGGGCUUCACACGUCAUACAAUGGUACAUACAGAGCGCCGCCAACCCGCGAGGGGGAGCUAAUCGCAGAAAGUGUAUCGUAGUCCGGAUUGUAGUCUGCAACUCGACUGCAUGAAGUUGGAAUCGCUAGUAAUCGCGGAUCAGCAUGUCGCGGUGAAUACGUUCCCGGGUCU
RNAcentral lists this ribosomal RNA (1352 nucleotides) under uncultured bacterium. RNAcentral describes it as "bacterial SSU rRNA". It matches the Rfam family "Bacterial small subunit ribosomal RNA", at positions 28 to 1381 of the family's 1533-position model. The record is from RNAcentral.